This 84-nucleotide transfer RNA is filed under the name Vibrio crassostreae. RNAcentral describes it as "tRNA-Leu". It matches the Rfam family "tRNA". From Rfam's summary of the family: Transfer RNA (tRNA) molecules are approximately 80 nucleotides in length. Their secondary structure includes four short double-helical elements and three loops (D, anti-codon, and T loops). Further hydrogen bonds mediate the characteristic L-shaped molecular structure. tRNAs have two regions of fundamental functional importance: the anti-codon, which is responsible for specific mRNA codon recognition, and the 3' end, to which the tRNAs corresponding amino acid is attached (by aminoacyl-tRNA synthetases). tRNAs cope with the degeneracy of the genetic code in two manners: having more than one tRNA (with a specific anti-codon) for a particular amino acid; and 'wobble' base-pairing, i.e. permitting non-standard base-pairing at the 3rd anti-codon position. Lineage: Bacteria; Pseudomonadati; Pseudomonadota; Gammaproteobacteria; Vibrionales; Vibrionaceae. The record is from RNAcentral.
GCCCUGGUGGUGGAAUUGGUAGACACAAGGGAUUUAAAAUCCCUCGACGUUCGCGUUGUGCUGGUUCAAGUCCGGCCCGGGGCA